CUGGGAGAACCGAAAACAGUUCUAGACAGACCUGCGGUUUUCUAGCAGCUUUGGCAGUCAACUUCAGCUUGUGCCUGAGCAGUGGGGCCGAGGUGGCCCAGCCGCGGGGGGACACAAGGCCGCCUCUCCUGACUACAUGGCUGCUUCUCUCGACUUCCCUGGGUGCCAGGGAGAAGGGGUGCCCGCGGGAAAG
This 193-nucleotide long non-coding RNA is filed under the name Meriones unguiculatus (Mongolian gerbil). Its description in RNAcentral is "HOXA11 antisense RNA 1 conserved region 5 (ENSMUGG00000000898.1)". It matches the Rfam family "HOXA11 antisense RNA 1 conserved region 5". Lineage: Eukaryota; Metazoa; Chordata; Mammalia; Rodentia; Muridae. The record is from RNAcentral.